GGAGGGAUACUCAAGAGGCUGAAGAGGCGGGUUUGCUAAACCUGUAGGGGGGCUUCAGCUCCCGCGGGGGUUCGAAUCCCCCUCCCUCCGCCA
This 93-nucleotide transfer RNA is filed under the name Candidatus Altimarinota bacterium. RNAcentral's name for it is "tRNA-Ser". It matches the Rfam family "tRNA". From Rfam's summary of the family: Transfer RNA (tRNA) molecules are approximately 80 nucleotides in length. Their secondary structure includes four short double-helical elements and three loops (D, anti-codon, and T loops). The record is from RNAcentral. Lineage: Bacteria; Candidatus Altimarinota.